RNAcentral lists this small RNA (744 nucleotides) under Pongo abelii (Sumatran orangutan). Its description in RNAcentral is "retained intron". The record is from RNAcentral. Lineage: Eukaryota; Metazoa; Chordata; Mammalia; Primates; Hominidae.
GCCUGGAGCGCGCGCCGGACCGGCCGGGGGUCCCGGCGAUGUUGGCGCUCCCCGCGCGCGCUGCGGACCCCGCUGACCUUGGCCGCGUCCCGGGGGCGCCGGGGGGCCCGGCGGCGGGGGCCUGAGUGGUACGCGGGAGCCCGGGAACCCCAGCGUGCCGGUCCCCGCUGACCCCGCGUCUCCCCGCAGCCCGCCGCCGCCAUGCCCUUCUCCAACAGCCACAACGCACUGAAGCUGCGCUUCCCGGCCGAGGACGAGUUCCCCGACCUGAGCGCCCACAACAACCACAUGGCCAAGGUGCUGACCCCCGAGCUGUACGCGGAGCUGCGAGCCAAGAGCACGCCGAGCGGCUUCACGCUGGACGACGUCAUCCAGACAGGCGUGGACAACCCGGGCCACCCGUACAUCAUGACCGUGGGCUGCGUGGCGGGCGACGAGGAGUCCUACGAAGUGUUCAAGGAUCUCUUCGACCCCAUCAUCGAGGACCGGCACGGCGGCUACAAGCCCAGCGAUGAGCACAAGACCGACCUCAACCCCGACAACCUGCAGGUGCGGGGCGGCGGGCGGGCCGGGCGGGCGGGGCCGGGGUCUCCGGGCGCUCACUCCCGUCUCGCCCCCCAGGGCGGCGACGACCUGGACCCCAACUACGUGCUGAGCUCGCGGGUGCGCACGGGCCGCAGCAUCCGUGGCUUCUGCCUCCCCCCGCACUGCAGCCGCGGGGAGCGCCGCGCCAUCGAGAAGCUC